UGAACGCUGGCGGCAGGCCUAACACAUGCAAGUCGAACGGCAGCACAGAAGAGCUUGCUCUUUGGGUGGCGAGUGGCGGACGGGUGAGUAAUGUCUGGGAAACUGCCCGAUGGAGGGGGAUAACUACUGGAAACGGUAGCUAAUACCGCAUAACGUCGCGAGACCAAAGUGGGGGACCUUCGGGCCUCACACCAUCGGAUGUGCCCAGAUGGGAUUAGCUAGUAGGUGGGGUAAUGGCUCACCUAGGCGACGAUCCCUAGCUGGUCUGAGAGGAUGACCAGCCACACUGGAACUGAGACACGGUCCAGACUCCUACGGGAGGCAGCAGUGGGGAAUAUUGCACAAUGGGCGCAAGCCUGAUGCAGCCAUGCCGCGUGUAUGAAGAAGGCCUUCGGGUUGUAAAGUACUUUCAGCGGGGAGGAAGGCGGUGAGGUUAAUAACCUUGCCGAUUGACGUUACCCGCAGAAGAAGCACCGGCUAACUCCGUGCCAGCAGCCGCGGUAAUACGGAGGGUGCAAGCGUUAAUCGGAAUUACUGGGCGUAAAGCGCACGCAGGCGGUCUGUUAAGUCAGAUGUGAAAUCCCCGGGCUUAACCUGGGAACUGCAUUUGAAACUGGCAGGCUUGAGUCUCGUAGAGGGGGGUAGAAUUCCAGGUGUAGCGGUGAAAUGCGUAGAGAUCUGGAGGAAUACCGGUGGGCGAAGGCGGCCCCCUGGACGAAGACUGACGCUCAGGUGCGAAAGCGUGGGGGAGCAAACAGGAUUAGAUACCCUGGUAGUCCACGCCGUAAACGAUGUCGACUUGGAGGUUGUGCCCUUGAGGCGUGGCCUCCGGAGCUAACGCGUUAAGUCGACCGCCUGGGGAGUACGGCCGCAAGGUUAAAACUCAAAUGAAUUGACGGGGGCCCGCACAAGCGGUGGAGCAUGUGGUUUAAUUCGAUGCAACGCGAAGAACCUUACCUGGCCUUGACAUCCAGAGAACUUAGCAGAGAUGCUUUGGUGCCUUCGGGAACUCUGAGACAGGUGCUGCAUGGCUGUCGUCAGCUCGUGUUGUGAAAUGUUGGGUUAAGUCCCGCAACGAGCGCAACCCUUAUCCUUUGUUGCCAGCGGCUCGGCCGGGAACUCAAAGGAGACUGCCGGUGAUAAACCGGAGGAAGGUGGGGAUGACGUCAAGUCAUCAUGGCCCUUACGGCCAGGGCUACACACGUGCUACAAUGGCGCAUACAAAGAGAAGCGACCUCGCGAGAGCAAGCGGACCUCAUAAAGUGCGUCGUAGUCCGGAUUGGAGUCUGCAACUCGACUCCAUGAAGUCGGAAUCGUUAGUAAUCGUAGAUCAGAAUGCUACGGUGAAUACGUUCCCGGGCCUUGUACACACCGCCC
RNAcentral lists this ribosomal RNA (1377 nucleotides) under uncultured bacterium. RNAcentral describes it as "16S ribosomal RNA". It matches the Rfam family "Bacterial small subunit ribosomal RNA", at positions 30 to 1395 of the family's 1533-position model. The record is from RNAcentral.